GUAUAGAAAUGAGUAAAAAAUGAUAAAAAAAAUUUGAGAAAAAAGAUAAGAAAAAAAGGAAGAGAAAAAUAGAAAGGAAGGGAAGAGAAAAAAUAGAAAGCAUGAGAUGCUUGUCCAAAAAAUCAGAUUGUUCAUGUGUUGAACAUAAAAUAUGAUUUGUGUGUAGUGAGAUCUUUUAAAAAAAUAUUCUUAAAGAGAUCUUAGUAGAGGUCAUGAAGGCAUACAAACAAUGAUGUAAUUAGUUCUUGUGAAGGAUGGUCGGC
Molecule: long non-coding RNA, 263 nt
Filed under: Elaeis guineensis (African oil palm)
Lineage: Eukaryota; Viridiplantae; Streptophyta; Magnoliopsida; Arecales; Arecaceae
Description: long non-coding RNA (EGUI_LNC033953)
Source: RNAcentral